RNAcentral lists this ribosomal RNA (1323 nucleotides) under uncultured bacterium. RNAcentral's name for it is "bacterial SSU rRNA". It matches the Rfam family "Bacterial small subunit ribosomal RNA", at positions 27 to 1381 of the family's 1533-position model. The record is from RNAcentral.
GGAUGAACGUUGGCGGUGUGCCUAAUACAUGCAAGUCGAACGGAGUUAAUAGCAAUAUUGACUUAGUGGCGAACGGGUGAGUAACGCGUUGGUGAUCUGCCUCGAAGUGUGGAAUAACGUUCCGAAAGGAACGCUAAUACCGCAUGUGCUCUCGAUUUUUAGAAAGUUGAGAGUAAAGGAUUUAUUCGCUUCGAGAGGAGCCUGCGUCCCAUCAGCUGGUUGGUAGGGUAACGGCCUACCAAGGCUAUGACGGGUAGGGGACCUGAGAGGGUGGCCCCCCACAAUGGAACUGAAACACGGUCCAUACACCUACGGGUGGCAGCAGUAGGGAAUAUUAGAAAUGGACGAAAGUCUGAUCUAGCAACACCGCGUGUGCGAAGAAGGCCUUCGGGUCGUAAAGCACUUUUUGGAAGGAAUAGGAAGGAAUGUACUUCCAGAAUAAGUCUCGGCUAACUACGUGCCAGCAGCCGCGGUAACACGUAGGAGGCAAACGUUAUCCGGAUUUACUGGGCGUAAAGCGCGUGUAGGUGGUUCUGUAAGUAGGGCGUGAAAGCUCCCGGCUCAACUGGGAGAGGCCGUUCUAAACUACAGAACUAGAGGAUGGUAGAGGGAGGUGGAAUUCCAGGUGUAGCGGUGGNNNUGCGCAGAUAUCUGGAGGAACACCAGUGGCGAAGGCGGCCUCCUGGACCAUUCCUGACACUCAGACGCGAAAGCUAGGGUAGCAAACGGGAUUAGAGACCCCGGUAGUCCUAGCCCUAAACGAUGUAGACUAGGCGUCGGAAGUUUAAUCACUUUCGGUGUCCAAGCUAACGCGAUAAGUCUACCGCCUGGGGACUACGGCCGCAAGGUUAAAACUCAAGGGAAUUGACGGGUCCCCGCACAAGCAGCGGAGCGUGUGGUUUAAUUCGUUGCUACACGAAGAACCUUACCUGGGUUUGACAUAGCAGUGGUAGGGAAGCGAAAGCGGACCGACCCUUCGGGGAGCUGUUACAGGUGUUGCAUGGCUGUCGUCAGCUCGUGUCGUGAGAUGUUCGGUUAAGUCCGCUAACGAGCGCAACCCGCGUUGUGUGUUACAAGUGUCACACAAUACCGCCGGUAUUAAGUCGGAGGAAGGUGCGGAUGACGUCAAGUCAGCAUGACCUUUAUAUCCAGGGCUACACACACGCUACAAUGGUCAGCACAAUAGGUUGCCAAGUCGUGAGACGGAGCCAAUCCUCCAAAGCUGGCCUCAGUUCAGAUUGUAGGCUGCAACCCGCCUGCAUGAAGUUGGAGUUGCUAGUAACCGCAGGUCAGCUAUACUGCGGUGAAUACGUUCCCGGGGAU